This 60-nucleotide microRNA precursor is filed under the name Callorhinchus milii (elephant shark). RNAcentral's name for it is "Cmi-Mir-184_pre stem-loop". It matches the Rfam family "mir-184 microRNA precursor family", at positions 13 to 76 of the family's 86-position model. Lineage: Eukaryota; Metazoa; Chordata; Chondrichthyes; Chimaeriformes; Callorhinchidae. The record is from RNAcentral.
CCUUAUCACUUUUCCAGCCCAGCUGCACACAGAUGUGUUGGACGGAGAACUGAUAAGGGC